Molecule: non-coding RNA, 47 nt
Organism: Poecilia formosa (Amazon molly)
Lineage: Eukaryota; Metazoa; Chordata; Actinopteri; Cyprinodontiformes; Poeciliidae
Source: Rfam
CCAAAGGCUCUUUUAAGAGCCAACACACAUUCUACUGAAGAGCUCCU